Molecule: small RNA, 2737 nt
Filed under: Rattus norvegicus (Norway rat)
Lineage: Eukaryota; Metazoa; Chordata; Mammalia; Rodentia; Muridae
Description: uncharacterized LOC102549755
Source: RNAcentral
AUUUAAUAAAAGUUUUGGCUGCCGCAAGGAUUCGUAUGUCCCCGCGUGUUUUCUUGCUGGCGAGGUCGCACGUGGGACGGGGUGGAUGAUUCUGGUUAUUUUAUGAAUUAUAGGUAUGUUGUCAUUUUAAGAAAUACUUUACAAAUGUUGUAGCUUUGGACAGGGAGGAAACUAGAGAGCUCAGAUUCAGGGAUUUCUACCUUUCCUUUCCUGUUCUCUAUCCUUCCUUCUUAGGCAAAGAAGAGGGGGGUGGAAGAAAAAAGGGGAUAUAGUAAUAUCAAAGAAAUUAGAGGAAUAAACAAAUAGGGAUAGGUUAACAAAUUUACUAUUAAACAAAACAUUACAUAGCCAUACCUUACAUUGGUAGAAAUCUUUAUAAUUGAUGCAAAGUUAAAGUUAUAAUGUUUUACAUUGGUAAGAAUUUAUUUUAUACAGAUUGGUAUGGAUUUCUUAUAUUGAUACAAAAAUUGAGAUUAAUAUUGUUACUCUUAGAUAGGCACUGUGCCUAUGCACCUCAUUUGAGAAUACAAAGCUUAGACCCAGUCCUUCUAUAACUGCUAUUACAAACUGUUCUUAGAUGAUUAAGCAAAAUGAGUUAAGGGCCAGAUAGCAAACUCAUGGUUCUUAGUUAACUACAAAAGGGUGUUUUUGAGAUAUUUCAAUUAGUAAUGGCUGAGAAUAGUCAAUGAUUAACAGUUCAGAACUGCUUUGCAUAGAUAGAUAGUCUUCAAAGGCAUCAAAAGUCCACAGAAUACAACAUUUAUGGCUGUUUUAUUUAUUAAAGAUCAGUUGAUUAAAGACAUGUCUAUGCCUGAAAGCAUCCCUUUCUUAGAUUCAAAGAAGAAAUUAAACAUCAAUGGAGUUCCUCCAGUUGUGGCGAGACAGUCACUAGGCAAGAAUUGCCUCAAUUCAUCUACAGACAAAAAUACUGUCCAGAAAAGGACACACAAUGCGGAAUAGUCGACUGACAGCUCUGCCAAGGCAGGGUAAUCAGUCCUUCAAAAUUCUACAUCGCAAAGGUCUGUCAGACAAUCCUGGGCCAGAAGGUUGAAGAUUGAUGCUCCACCAUUUUGAGGAAUGAGAGACUGUCCAGGAAGUCAACUGUCUGUACAAAUUGGUUAAGUUUUGGAAAUUAUGUUUUAUGUGUCUUUAUUUUCAGGUAAUGUUUAAGUAGUUCUCAGAUUCCUGACCAGGUCAAAGACUGGUUGUAGUCUUAUAGAUAACCCAAGUUGUUUAGCAAUGAGAAAGAUGAUAUAGAUUUGAGCGGAUGGUUUUCAGAUGAUAUACAAGCUAAAACCAGGACGUAAUUUAGGUGUAGAGUUGUAAGCCUUUUAAGUUCGUAUAGAUGGUAGAGUGCUUUAUCUAAGUUGACAAAAUUGAUAGACGGGGUGUAUCUUAUACCUUACAAAUUACAUAAUUGUAGUAAUUGUACUCAAUUUAUAUCUGAGAGAAAAAAGCCUUUUAAUUGGACAAAAAAGGGGAAAUGUUGUAGAUUGCCCUGGUGCUGUUUGUAUUUUGAUGCUAAUUCUGCUUCCUCAAGAGGGGCUGCCCUGAUGAAGAGUGGAUCAUGUACUCAGGCUUAUUGGGGUUGGAGCUUGACCACAAUACCAUCAUAACUGUAAAUCAAGCUACAGUGUCACUAAAAGACAGAAAUCUUCAGCUGCCUUGUGUUGUGGGACCACCACUGUAUAAGCAAUCUGUCAUUAACCAAGGUGAUGUUACAAGGCCACUCAGGAACUUGGUGCGGGAAACCCGACCUUGAUACACAUGGCCUGAUCUCAGCAGUUUUCUGGAGCCUUGACAUAAACCUCUGAUCGAGACAGCCACCGAGAGCUAAGAAGACAAUCCUCUCUGAUACCUCAUUGUCCAGCUGUGCAUUAUUUCAUUACUAACUUGUAGGGAUUUUAUAGGUAUUUUUCAUUUUCCACACACUCCCAGCUGGCUCCCUUAAACUUGACUCUCUUCAUGCUUAUAAUUUAUAAGCGUGAAGGUAAAUAUGGUUUUUCAAACUAUGGAAAGGGAGAAAACAAUGAGCCAAAGAGAGGCUAGAAGGGGUCUUGUGGUGCCAAGAAGUACUAGUCUGCACUUUUACAUGUGAGUGUGGAGAAGAAUGGUCUCCAUGCUGGCAGACCGGUUUGCCGUUACUUUAAAGAUCCUCCCCGAGUUAAUAAUGAUGUUCAGUCUCUCACUGCUUCUGGGAUGCUCAUUCCCAGAAUGGCGGCGGCUUUUAGAAUACAGUCAUGAAUUGCUUGGUACUUUCUCCCAUGGCUAGUGGAGAAGUCUGUGUGCUCUCCCCUGGAACCUGGAGAGUCUGUGACUGACUGCCUCAGUCAGCGCAGUAAACCGCCAUGUACAGCGGCCUUUUUCUCUCGGGCCACCUGUGCUUAGAACUUAGUCACCGUGCUGCAUAGAAGCCCAGGGCGCCACAGAGAGAGGUCAUGUGAUGUUACGGCAGCCAAGACCAACGCCGAGACCAACAUCCCAGGCUAAGUUCACAGCCAAUUUACUAAGUUACUAAGUUACGGGUUACCAUUACUGCAUUAACAUUAACUGACCCUGUGUGCAAAAGACCCCUUAUAUAUUUCCAACUUUCAGAACUUCGUCAUCCCCGAGUCUUUGAGCGCUCCCAGCUGGGGCCACAAAUUGUAUGGAGCCAAGACAAACCAUCCCCGCAGUUCUUCUCUGAAUCCCUAACCCGCCCAGUCUGUGAGCAUAAUUAAAUGGCUGUUUUAGGCAA